UACGAAGGGGGCUAGCGUUGCUCGGAAUCACUGGGCGUAAAGGGUGCGUAGGCGGGUUUUUAAGUCAGGGGUGAAAUCCUGGAGCUCAACUCCAGAACUGCCUUUGAUACUGAAGAUCUUGAGUCCGGGAGAGGUGAGUGGAACUGCGAGUGUAGAGGUGAAAUUCGUAGAUAUUCGCAAGAACACCAGUGGCGAAGGCGGCUCACUGGCCCGGUACUGACGCUCAUGUGCGAAAGCGUGGGGAGCAAACAGG
RNAcentral lists this ribosomal RNA (253 nucleotides) under uncultured bacterium. Its description in RNAcentral is "partial 16S ribosomal RNA". It matches the Rfam family "Bacterial small subunit ribosomal RNA", at positions 524 to 776 of the family's 1533-position model. The record is from RNAcentral.